This 301-nucleotide ribosomal RNA is filed under the name uncultured bacterium. Its description in RNAcentral is "partial 16S ribosomal RNA". It matches the Rfam family "Bacterial small subunit ribosomal RNA", at positions 509 to 807 of the family's 1533-position model. The record is from RNAcentral.
CAGUAGCCGCGGUAAUACAGAGGGUGCGAGCGUUAAUCGGAUUUACUGGGCGUAAAGCGUGCGUAGGCGGCUUCUUAAGUCGGAUGUGAAAUCCCUGAGCUUAACUUAGGAAUUGCAUUCGAUACUGGGAAGCUAGAGUAUGGGAGAGGAUGGUAGAAUUCCGGGUGUAGCGGUGAAAUGCGUAGAGAUCUGGAGGAAUACCGAUGGCGAAGGCAGCCAUCUGGCCUAAUACUGACGCUGAGGUACGAAAGCAUGGGGAGCAAACAGGAUUAGAUACCCCGGUAGUCCCUGUCUCUUAUAC